GCGAGUGACGUACGUCGCUGUUUAUGUUCCGUGUAGAAACAAGAGUCUGUAUCGACUUACCUGUUCAUAUCAGUAGGUCUGUAAACACAACUAGUUUUAGUUUAGUGAAAGUUUAAUCGGGUAAUUAGUGACUUUAAGAUGGACGGAAAAUAUCGCGCUAAAGGAAAAAGAGGAAGCGGAAGAGUAGGCCGAGAAAACCGAGAAGAGAGCAGAGAUGUGCGUCUGUCCAAAUCCCUGACUUACGCCCUAAGACAUGGUGCUGCUAAAAUGGGGCUUAACAUGGGCUCAGAUGGCUUUGUAUUUGUGGAUGAACUUCUCACUCAUGGACAGUUCAGGUCAUUUUCAUUGGAGGACAUAGAGAGAGUGGUGGCUACAAAUGAGAAGCAGCGCUUCAAAUUGCAAAACCAUAUUGAAAAUGGACGGCCACAGAUCCGUGCUAAUCAAGGACAUACUGUACAGGUUGAAGACCUAGAAUUGACAGCAGUGGCUCUGGGUGCUCCAGACUGUCCACAGGAGGCUGUUCAUGGGUCCUACAUGAAACACUGGUCGUCAAUCCGUAGCCAAGGCCUGUCGAGGAUGAGCAGAACACACAUUCACCUGGCGCCUGGGCUGCCUGGAGAAGGCCAAGUUAUCAGUGGUGUGAGCCACAGAGAGAAUUCAUUCAUUCAUUCAUUUUCUACCGCUUAUCCGAACUACCUCGGGUCACGGGGAGCCUGUGCCUAUCUCAGGCGUCAUCGGGCAUCAAGGCAGGAUACACCCUGGACGGAAUGCCAACCCAUCGCAGGGCACACACUCUCAUUCACUCACGCAAUCACACACUUGUCACACAAUUUUCCAGAGAUGCCAAUCAACCUACCAUGCAUGUCUUUGGACCGGGGGAGGAAACCGGAGUACCCGGAGGAAACCCCCGAGGCACGGGGAGAACAUGCAAACUCCACACACACAAGGUGGAGGCGGGAAUCGAACCCCGACCCUGGAGGUGUGAGGCGAACGUGCUAACCACUAAGCCACCGUGCCCCCUAGAGAGAAUUCAGUGUUUUGGUUUUAACUCAAAUGCAGUAAAUCAGAUAAGUUUUGUCAGUUCUUUGAGGUUCAUUUCUUUAUUGAGGUGCUGGAAUUGUUAAAUUGUUAAAUAUCUGCCUCAAAUCACAAAGAAUUUUCUAAAAAAAUCUUUCACUCAUAAUUGAUGAGGUGAUGUCUGGCUCAUAGUAGGACUGAUUGGAAAAGUAUUAGUGACAUUAGACUUCGUAGUAGUCACUCCAAUGCAAACCACAGCUAACAAAACAAAUUCUGGAUAGCAAAUGUUUUGGUUCUGGGUAAAGGAAAAUAACUUCCAGAAGAUGAGACAUUCUAGAGCAGUAGUUCUCAACUUUGGUCGUGGGGAACCGUUGUUUGCAAGCUGUUCCCUUGCAGAUAUUUUCUCCAGCUAUUUAGAUAAUGUUCUUCAGGUCGAUAUGCGUGGAACUCCAUGUUUAUAGUGGGGACCCACUGUUCUGGAAGAUGGUGAUAUGAAAUUGUGACUGAGAUGUAGAGCUCUCUGUGAGGUUCUACCGCUAAACAACAUUGUACAAGCGAUCUGUAGACAUAUAAAUUAGUUUGUUUUAUGUUUAUUUAUGUUUUAUGAGUAAAAAUUAUUUCUUUAUCUUUUUUUUUUUUAGGGAUGAGACAUAAUUGUGAACUUGCUGUGUACAUCAAUGUCCCUAAAGCAAUAGCAGACGGAAUUAAGUUUUACUGGUCCGAAAAUAAAGUGCUUUUGACGCCAGGAGAUGCUGAAGGAGUGUUGCCUCCUAAAUAUUUCUUGCGUGC
Molecule: RNA transcript, 1806 nt
Organism: Tachysurus vachellii
Lineage: Eukaryota; Metazoa; Chordata; Actinopteri; Siluriformes; Bagridae
Gene: trpt1
Gene name: tRNA phosphotransferase 1
Exons: 5
Source: RefSeq, a predicted model, not a curated record